AAUUAAAGGAGAAGCAGAAUUUAAAUCCAAAGAUUAAAGCAGCCGCGGCUCCCCAGCCGGCCCAGGCACGGCGGGAUCGGGCUCUGCAGCGCAGCUCCGGGGACAGCACCAGGAGCGCGUCCCUGGCUUCCGCUCACAGUGAUCCCGAGCAGCUCCUGAGAGCUUCGGUUUGCGGCCGAACAGCUUUCCCGAGUGGGAUUUUAAUUUUCUCUCUCAUACGUCUCAUUGAAAUGACACGUCUGGCCCGAGCAGAGCUCCAAGCGAGCGCGGAACACGACCCGCUUCUGUUCCCAGCGCUGACAAGUUAAGCGCAGACCGAGUGAAAAAGGCCUGUUUGUCCCCUCUUUGCCGGAACAUUGGUUUCCACAAAAUGGCUGGAAAAUGAGGAGCAGCUGAAGGGUGAGUCACACAUAUUGAUAUUACAAGGAUUGAUCCUCCCCUGCCUAGGAUGCAUAAUGAGCUCAAUGCUCCUGGAUCUCCACUCAGCAAGUUCCUCCUGAAAAGACACGGCAGAAAUAAAGUUCAACACCAAGCAUAAAUAUUUUAUGCUGAAUUUUACCUGUGGCACAUCGAAGUCCAGCCAAGCCAAGAAAAACAAAGCAGAACUGCAGGGAAACAUCUGCCUUUUCUUCCUCUUUCUGAUGUGUCCCAUAAGCAAAUCUGAUAAGUAACUUCUGCAAAAUGUUGUUUGAAAUGUGACAUUUUAAUGAAUGCCAUAGAAAGUGGUAGAAGUAAUUCCUAAUGCACAGAUUUCUUUUGUUCUAUUAUGCAUCGAUGAGAGAAUUUGCAUGAUCAUUAGGGGAUGACUGAAGUCUGGAAUCUUUUUAAUGAAUAUUACAUUCCCAUCUAUUAAUGGGAGGAAUGACAGUAAAUUCUUCUUUUAGCAAAUUUCUGCCAUCUGUGUAACUUUUACCUAGAGCAUUACUAGGAACCAAGUUGAAGAAGGCGCCUAAAUAGUGCAAAGGAAGGAACUUCAGCAAAGACAGACUUAACCAGGUUUCCAUGUUGCUGGUCCCUUCUCUCUGUGGAAUUUGCUUUUUCUUUUCUUUAUUGUCUUUCUUUCUCUUUUUUUCUUUUUAAUUUUGAAAAUUGACCUAUGCUCCAUAAAGUUAAUCUGACUUGUUCUCAUGCUCUUUUUGUGUGAAGUCUUGAAAUAUCAUCAGACAUACAGACUUUUAUUAUAUUUACUGAAGCAUAUUUGACAGAAAAGUUGGCAUCAAUAAGUAGAUUUAAAAAAAUUAGAUUCUAAAGUUUUCCAUUAUUUACAGUUUAAUUCAAGGAAAGUCAGAUAGACUACUUGCCUACUUUCAAGAGUAUGAUUUUUAUUCAACCAGAAUUUCAUGUAUAUGAAAGAAACUAAGUGAAUAUAUAUUUUAAAGAGAUAACAAAUCUUGAUUAAGUGGGGUCUGAGCAACAAAUACUUAAUCAUGUGCAUAUUCAGCUAGCAUGUACUAACUAGAACUGUUUAAAAAAUGUUUCCCUCUCUUUUAAUUAUUUUGAAUCCUGAAAUCAGCGUAAUUGAUUCUCAGAAUGCUUCUGAAAACAACUCCAAACACAGGAGGUGUGAUUUUCUCAAACUCUCCAUAAUCAAAUCUGAUUAAUUUCCAUACUUCGUUAUGCUUGUCUCUCCCUUUCUUGUUGAGAAGCCAUCUACAUCAUGAGAUCUUUUUGCAACAGGCCAUAAUGAGAAAUGUAAUCUUCAUGCCAGCAGGGCAACAUGCUAGUAAAAGUUGAACCAUGGAACAGAAAAUUUGUUUGGAAAAUAAAUAAAAAACGUCCACAUUUCCACAGAGAAAACUUUUGGUUGCAAAGUCAUUUAUCUGGAAAACAAAUGGAAUUGCUCUAUUUUCAAUUAUUUUGGCUGGCAGUUUAAUUAAUUCUUCAAUUUAUUUUCAAACUUCAGCCUCCAGCCAUUUGAUAUUGUUGUUAAGGAAUGACCUGCUAUUUCUUUUAAAAUCAUUUUGUUAUCUGAUAUCCUUCUCUUAUAGAGAAGAUGUCACUUUUAGCCACUCUGCAAUAUUCUUUGGCUUUCAAAAGCUAAGUAAGUUCACCUCCUUUCGCUUUCUCUCUUUAGGUCACAAAUCUUCCCUACAGUUUCCCUCAAUUCUUUUUAACUUUCAAAAUUCCUUAUGGACUGUUUUCUAUGGAAGUUUUUAAACACUUGUCUUCCCUUUUCAAGCACACUCCUAACACUCUUUUUUCUAAUGUCAUUGUGCAGGUUCAAGAAGACAGGAAUACAUCUGAGUACUUACUUAAAAUGUCUCACCGCCCCCUCACGUACCCGAAGUAACUCUCCUCCUAAGGUCUGGUAUCAAAACCGCACCAAGCCCGUCUGUUCCUUGGGCCUCUGAAAAUAUCUUUACUUUCAGAUCCUUGUCAUUGAAAGGAUCAGAUCUAAGCAGGACCACGAAGCAGGUUCACCAGGUCCCCAUCAGUAGGUACGGUGGGAGGUGGACAGUGCUCCUCAGACAACAAAAGAGCUGCACAGUGUGGGUGCGUGGCGCUCACGUCAGCCAUGCCAUGGCCGAGAGACCUGUGAAGAUCAUCUGAAAAUGUGUUGCACAUUCCCACACAACAUGUUUCUCAUCUGUUUGGCUACUUUCCAUCUUCUUGAGAUGUGAGAGAAGGAAGUGAGUUUUGUGUGACCUUGCUUUUCCUGUUUCAUGGAGCAACCAUGACUCCUACUGGAGAUUUUCUACUCACCAAACCCAGAGUGCUUUCAGCACACAUUGCAUAAAUGCACAUAUUGCCUCACCUACAUUAAGGAGAAACAUGCUUGUGUUUCAUUCAUACACAGAGAGAGAUGACUGCUCAGAUACUGUUUUCAGUGCUUCUACCACAAAACCUUCUGGGAAGAAAAGGUACUUUUCCUUCAGCUGUUCUUCAUGCUGGGGAGAUCUGCUCACCUUGACCUCCUCAUUUGGGCCAUGGUUACUCUUGGGAAACAAGUGAAGCAGCAGGUUAAGUAAAGGAAGUAGUUGCUGUUUUCUUCAUUCUUUUUCAGGUAAAGAAGGCUGAAGACAUGAUUAUGAUUUCUGACUUGAGGCAAGACAACCUCAACAACCCAUGCCAGUGGAGAGCUGGUUGACUGCAACUUCUCAGCUCUCAGAUAGAGAAAAGAUCCUGGUUGAAGUCUGUAACCACAGCCAGGCUGAAACUUGGGUUCCACGGUCUUUGGGGACUUACCAAGAUAAAAACAGAGCUCAGGAGAAGAAAUCAGGGUAAAGAUGAGAAGAUACUUAAAGCAGUAAGAAUGGUUUGACAAUUCAACAGAUCCAGUGCAUUUCCUUGUCCGUCUGAGCCAUGACCCAGUAGAGGUUCAGUACUGAACUGUACCUCCAAAAUGUUUAUUAAUCAGAGUAACUGUCCAUCUUGCCAUUUCUAGGAAUCCAAGAUAUGUCUUUUUUCAAUUUCCAUGGUAGUAUUCUGUAGAGACUAGUAAGGAUAGAAUAAUUUAAGCUGAAGUACCUGAAUCAUAUGUAGUCAUCAAAAUCAAUGAACUAAUUUUCAGAGAUGCUAGUUAUCUCUCAGUUCCCGUAGGAAAAAAUAAGCUUCUGUUUGUUUGGGAUUUGAAUAGAAAUUUUCUAUUUUUAAUUCAUUUUGCUUCAGUAAACCUUUAUUCACUGAGAAUAUGUGGGUUGCUAGCUGUUAAUUAUUAUGCUAACAGGAUUCUGCUAAAGGUGGUCUGAAAACCUGUUUUCCCACUUACUGAAUCAUCUAAUUUGAAAAAAUAUAUUAAGACUGUUUAAAAUAACUGUGACAUUGAUACUUUAGCUAAUUCCCACUUUAACAGAAGCAGGCAGUAUCCUCUCUUUGCAUGAGCAGAUGAAACUGUAUAUAGCCACUCUAAUUCUCCAAUUCUGUGAUUGGAUUUCUUUAGCAUCUUAAGCUUAACAACAAUGCUUUCCACAUGGAAAGAUUUAGUAUCCAUAAAGGUCCUCCCCAUAAUGUGGUACUACAGGAGGAGUCCCUACUUCCCUCUGAGGAGCAUGUGAUUCUUACAGACUUCUUUAGUGAAUAAAGGUAACUCAGAUUCAAAAAUCCUCUGCAGUGCAGGCAUUUAGCUCAAGACCGAGACAUCUAAAUUAAGGUGUCUAAAUGUAAGAUCUUGAUUCAGGUGCCUAAACAUAGGUGCCUAGUGCUUUUCAAGAUGCCUUUAUGAAUUUGCUGAGAUGCUCAUUUGGCCUUCAGCUCCAAUUCUAGAAGCAGAUGGGUCUCCUGCAGGUCAUGGCUGUAUCUGCCAGCUGUGUGGCUGUCCUAGGUCAUCUGAAAUGGCACAUGUUCACUAAUUGAAUAGAACCCUAACUAUUCUGGGAUUGAGGAACAUAGAGUCAGUAGAGAUUCAGCUCUCACCAGGUUGGCAGCUGGAUCUGUCUAAGCUUCCCUGAGGGUACUGGGCACCAAGUUCACAUGCAGACAUUUACUUGCAAACACCUUAUUUUGGGUAUCUUCAUCCCAAACUAAGACCAAUCCAUGCCAUGUCAGUUGCAACAAAGGAUGAAUUCAGAAAUGGAAGGCAGAACAUGCUGGAAAGUGGAAACUGCUAUGUGUAUGCCUUUGCAAGGGCUUAACAGGCGAUAAAAAUAUCAGCUGGAUCAAUCCCCCUCCAAAUGUUUCAGUGAAUGCCAUGUCUAGGACAAGGGUGACCACAAAAGGGAAACUUUCUCUUUCUGCUUUCCACUGCUGGAAGUUAAACAGUGCCUCUUCCAUGGAAGACUUCCAUCAGUGAGCAGCUGUAGGCCAAAGCUGCUCCAAAUACAAGGACAGUUUCUUCAUAAUUGUCCUAUUCUUUUAUUAACACAAUUGGUUUAAGCACCAACCAAUGAAAUUAAAAAUAAUCUGAACUUGAUUGUGCCCUUCUGUUUCAGUCAGGAGUAUCUACCAUAUGCUUGACAGAAAGGGGCAAUAUUCAAUGGUAGAGUAUUUGAAGUGCUUCCAAAAUUAGCCUUCUUGUUUCUUACACUGUUAAAAACAAUUCUCUCCUGCUACUCAAUGCAAUUUACAGGAGGUGCUUGGAAGAAAACAACCUUGAAUUUUCUUAUGGCACUAACUUCCAUCAUGAUAAAUCUCAAGGUGAGAGUAAACAGGAAGGUAUGAGCCUCUUUUACAACCGUGUUUCUGAAUGACAUUAUAGUCAAAGAUGUUCUUUAUAGUCUCUGCUGAAAAAAAUGCACUGAAUUUUAUUGGCAGCAUCUCUCUGACAGAUGUCACUACUGUCCUUGUUUAAACCAGCAUUAAAACAUUAAAUAUAACUUGGAGAAAAAACCGAAGAGUUUUAAGAGUUUAAAGUUAUAAGAGUUUCCAUUUAAUGAAAUACAAAGGUAAAAGAAAAAAAUU
Molecule: long non-coding RNA, 5337 nt
Organism: Passer domesticus (house sparrow)
Lineage: Eukaryota; Metazoa; Chordata; Aves; Passeriformes; Passeridae
Exons: 4
Source: RefSeq, a predicted model, not a curated record